Molecule: long non-coding RNA, 321 nt
Organism: Labeo rohita (rohu)
Lineage: Eukaryota; Metazoa; Chordata; Actinopteri; Cypriniformes; Cyprinidae
Exons: 3
Source: RefSeq, a predicted model, not a curated record
AAAACCACUGAGUUCAGGGGGCAGGUGCAUGGAGUUGUUACUUUUCAUAGAUACACCGCUGAAUCCUGGAGAUGCUGCUCUCUGAGUGUGAAAACCACUGAGUUCAGGGGGCAGGUGCAUGGAGUUGUUACUUUUCAUAGAUACACCGCUGAAUCCUGGAGAUGCUGCUCUCUGAGUGUAAAAAUCACUGAGAUCAGGGGGCAGGUGCAUGGAGUUGUUACUUUUCAUAGAUACACUGCUGAAUCCUGGAGAUGCUGCUCUCUGAGUGUAAACAGGAGCCUCCUGCUCUUUCUCCUCAUACACACUCAUUUUACAAGCUGU